This 482-nucleotide ribosomal RNA is filed under the name uncultured bacterium. Its description in RNAcentral is "partial 16S ribosomal RNA". It matches the Rfam family "Bacterial small subunit ribosomal RNA", at positions 30 to 507 of the family's 1533-position model. The record is from RNAcentral.
AUUGAACGCUGGCGGCAUGCCUUACACAUGCAAGUCGAACGGUAACAGGUCUUCGGAUGCUGACGAGUGGCGAACGGGUGAGUAAUACACCGGAACGUGCCCGAUCGUGGGGGAUAACGGAGCGAAAGCUUUGCUAAUACCGCAUACGAUCUACGGAUGAAAGCAGGGGACCGCAAGGCCUUGCGCGGACGGAGCGGCCGAUGGCCGAGUAGGUUGUUGGUGGGAUAAAAGCUUACCAAGCCGACGAUCUGUAGCUGGUCUGAGAGGACGACCAGCCACACUGGGACUGGGCCACGGCCCAGACUCCUGCGGGAGGCAGCAGUGGGGAAUUUUGGACAAUGGGCGAAAGCCUGAUCCAGCCAUGCCGCGUGCAGGAUGGAGGCCUUCGGGUUGUGAACUGCUUUUGUACGGAGCGAAAAGACUCUUUCUAAUAAAGAGGGUCCGUGACGGUACCGGAAGAAUAAGCACCGGCUAACUACGUG